This 301-nucleotide ribosomal RNA is filed under the name uncultured bacterium. RNAcentral's name for it is "partial 16S ribosomal RNA". It matches the Rfam family "Bacterial small subunit ribosomal RNA", at positions 509 to 808 of the family's 1533-position model. The record is from RNAcentral.
CAGUAGCCACGGGAACACGUAGGUCUCGAGCGUUGUCCGGAUUUAUUGGGCGUAAAGCGAGCGCAGGCGGUUAGAUAAGUCUGAAGUUAAAGGCUGUGGCUUAACCAUAGUACGCUUUGGAAACUGUUUAACUUGAGUGCAAGAGGGGAGAGUGGAAUUCCAUGUGUAGCGGUGAAAUGCGUAGAUAUAUGGAGGAACACCGGUGGCGAAAGCGGCUCUCUGGCUUGUAGCUGACGCUGAGGCUCGAAAGCGUGGGGAGCAAACAGGAUUAGAUACCCCAGUAGUCCCUGUCUCUUAUACC